RNAcentral lists this ribosomal RNA (541 nucleotides) under uncultured eukaryote. Its description in RNAcentral is "SSU rRNA". It matches the Rfam family "Eukaryotic small subunit ribosomal RNA", at positions 202 to 746 of the family's 1831-position model. The record is from RNAcentral.
UGUAUUUAUUAGAUUAAAAACCAAUGCCCUUCGGGGCUCCUUGGUGAUUCAUAAUAACUUAACGAAUCGCAUGGCCUUGUGCCGGCGAUGGUUCAUUCAAAUUUCUGCCCUAUCAACUUUCGAUGGUAGUAUAUGGGACUACCAUGGUUUCAACGGGUAACGGGGAAUUAGGGUUCUAUUCCGGAGAGGGAGCCUGAGAAACGGCUACCACAUCCAAGGAAGGCAGCAGGCGCGCAAAUUACCCAAUCCCGACACGGGGAGGUAGUGACAAUAAAUACUGAUACAGGGCUCUUUUGGGUCUUGUAAUUGGAAUGAGUACAAUUUAAAUCCCUUAACGAGGAACAAUUGGAGGGCAAGUCUGGUGCCAGCAGCCGCGGUAAUACCAGCUCCAAUAGCGUAUAUUAAAGUUGUUGCAGUUAAAAAGCUCGUAGUUGAACCUUGGGCCUAGCCGGCCGGUCCGCCUCACCGCGUGCACUGGCUCGGCUGGGUCUUUCCUUCUGGAGAACCGCAUGCCCUUCACUGGGUGUGCCGGGGAACCAGG